UACGGAGGGUGCAAGCGUUAUCCGGAUUCACUGGGUUUAAAGGGUGCGUAGGUGGGCAGGUAAGUCAGUGGUGAAAUCUCCGGGCUUAACCCGGAAACUGCCAUUGAUACUAUUUGUCUUGAAUACUGUGGAGGUCGGCGGAAUAUGUCAUGUAGCGGUGAAAUGCUUAGAUAUGACAUAGAACACCAGUUGCGAAGGCAGCUGGCUACACAAUUAUUGACACUGAGGCACGAAAGCGUGGGGAUCAAACAGG
This 253-nucleotide ribosomal RNA is filed under the name uncultured bacterium. RNAcentral describes it as "partial 16S ribosomal RNA". It matches the Rfam family "Bacterial small subunit ribosomal RNA", at positions 524 to 776 of the family's 1533-position model. The record is from RNAcentral.